CAGCCGCCGCGGUAAUACCGGCGGCCCGAGUGGCGGUCACUAUUAUUUGGCUUAAAGCGUCCGUAGCCGGGUUGGGAAGUCCUCCGGGAAAUCUGGCCGCUUAACGGUCAGAAUGCCGGAGGAUACUCCCAGCCUAGGGAGCGGGAGAGGCCGAGGGUAUUCCCGGAGUAGGGGUGAAAUCCUAUAAUCCCGGGAGGACCACCUGUGGCGAAGGCGCUCGGCUGGAACGCGUCCGACGGUGAGGGACGAAGGCCAGGGGAGCAAACCGGAUUAGAUACCCGGGUAGUCCUGGCUGUAAACGAUGCGGACUUUGUGUCGGACAAGCUAUGAGCUUGUCCGGUGCCGGAGGGAAACCGUUAAGUCCGCCGCCUGGGGAGUACGGCCGCAAGGCUGAAACUUAAAGGAAUUGGCGGG
Molecule: ribosomal RNA, 414 nt
Filed under: uncultured microorganism
Description: bacterial SSU rRNA
Rfam family: Archaeal small subunit ribosomal RNA
Source: RNAcentral